UGUGUGUGUGUGUUGUAUAUUUUUUGGAAGCCUGUUGGUUGCAUUGAUUAUAAACUGUUUUAUAUUAGUAAAGAAAUGAAAAAUAAAACAAUACAUCUGAGUGAAUAGGUUGUGAUGUGGAUGCAGUAAUGUUGACGAAUGCUAAGCUGGUUCCACCAAACACAUUUCACUUGUGAAUUAAGCUGGAUCCAAGCCCAGGAGGUUCUGCUAUAGACAAUCUGACAGAUGUCUCCAUUCUUCUGAGACGCCUAACAAUGAAGCUAUCUAACUUAAGUAACAAGGCUCACUGUUUUUCUUGCACUUUUAAUAAAAGCUGAAUAGGUCUGGCUGUAUAUAUUGUGGUACAUUUACAUUGCUUGUUGUGAACAUUAAUCCACCAGCAUCAACUUCCCUUCUGUUUUAAGAAAAAAAAAAUACAGAUUUGCAUCUUAUUUACUGUAAUAUGACAGCUUGGUCCCACUCUCUGUAGGAGAUUGAUUUCCAUAAUGCAUUUGCAUUGAUGUGUCCAUUUUAAUUUUAGAGCAGUACAGGUCCACUGUCCAUUGUUUAUGAACAGUAAUUUCACUCUUCAGCCUUGUUGACUUGAAGUGUAAGUCAUUCAAAGAAGCAGCAAUAGCAGGCAAGUAUUACUUAAAUGCAUGUUGUAUUUUUGAAUGUGCAAAAAUGUUAAUGCUUGAUAUAUUAUAAUGUUAAUACGGUCAACAUUUGUAAUGUACUGUUAAUGAUUAAUUAGAUAGAGGCUGGUGCUAGAGUAAGUACAAUAACAUGAAUUCUAAAUGCAUUAUUAAAUGUGUUAAGUAAUGGAAGAUGGAAUUUUUAUUUAAUAGUAUUUAUUAUUAUUAUUAUUAUUAUUAUUAUUAUUAUUAUUAUUAUUAUUAUUAUUAUUAUUAUUAAUUAAGUAGGGAUUUAUUCCAUUCUAAAACCUGUCGUCAUUUAAACCCUUUCUGGCAUUUUCCAGAUUUUUACACACAGACAUGUGCUGGCGUUUCACAUGCACUAUUUGAGGUUUGAUUUUCAUAACCAUGCUACACAAAGAGCUGUUUUUACUGGUAUUUAGAUGCUUGAUUGGGGUUGUUUUGUGUAACUGACUGUCAUAUGAACUGUCGUCAAAAGAAAUGAUUUUGCAAUAGCCAGAAGCGUGUGCAAUUUAGGGAAAUUCUGAAUUAUUUCGCAUAUUUGUCAAAACUAUUGACUGAUCUAUUUACCAAUAUGACUGUAGCUGGUUACUUGAAUUGUUUUAACUGUUAUUUGUGUGUGUGUGUGUGUUUGAUGGGCAUGAUUAUAUUUUAUAUUGAUUUUCUUUCAGUUCUAAAGUUUCAACAAUGAAUAUCUAUGAAGAUAUUAUUUAUAUAACUGCUUUGCUUCUAUGCAUUGGCAGUGGAACACAAAUCUCUGGAGGUCUUCAAUGUAGUCUGAACCCACAAUGCUGCAAUCACACAGGAGAUGAAGACCAUUUAAAUGUCGUGGGUGGGGAGAAAUAUUACUGCUGUGAACUUGAACCAGGGAACUUCACUAAAAUUCUUUCAGAAACAUGCAAAACAAUUUGCCUGAAGGAACCAAACACAGAAAUUAAUAAAAGUCAAUAUUUCGUUUAUAAUGAAGAUUCGUUUUCCUGCUUUGGAGAUGCACAUAUUGAAGCAUCAAAUACAACUGUUGAUGAGGGAGACAAUAUCAGCCUGACCUGUUCAACUCAUGAAGAGGUCCGAGGAACGAGCUGGUUUAAAGACGAUGGAAUACUGGUCAACAGAACCCAAAGCAAUAAUCUGACCCUCACAAAAGUGCGUGCCAAUGAUGCUGGGUCCUAUUUUUGUACUGCUACAAAUUGUUGUGCAUCGAAUAAGAUAAAUAUCACCAUAAACUGUUCUGCUUUCAGUGUUAUUAUUAAUGCCACAUCAUUGGCUGUCAACGACAUGGAUAAUAUCACCCUGAUCUGUAUUACUGAUCAUGAAGUUCAGGAAGUUCUCUGGUUUAAAGACGCUGUACUCUUCAACAUAACCCAAAGCACUAAUCUGACCAUUACAAAGGUGUUGAAAAACAGCACUGGAUCCUACUACUGUACUGCAAUAAGAAGCUGUGGGAACAGCACUUCUAAUAAAAUAGACAUUACAGUUACUGAUAGUUCUCUUUUGAUAAUUAUCAUAUGUGGCCUUGGGGCAGUGGCCUUUCUCAUUUUGUUUGUCAUUGUGAUGAAAUGCAUGAUUAAAAACUCACAAGGUAAGAUUCACUGUGGAUGGGUGUAUCCAGAAACUAGAAUAUGUGGAAUGUGGGAUUUGGGAUCAUUUGUAAGUAUUUAUCAUUGUGGACUUAGAGUGUCAAUAAUUAUAGGGUUCUGAUUUCUCUGGGUUAUAUAAAAAUUUAAAAUAAGGCAAGAUUGGUAGGGUACGUCCAACGUUUUAUGUUGAACAAACAUUCACAUAUGAAUAUGUACUUCUAAAAUCUUUUUUCCGUCCAUUGAUAAAACAUUUUACACUGUUUACCUUCACACGGUCUACCUUAAUGUUUCCAUUGAAAUGUAACAACGUCCAUCACAGCGAUUUGGCACCCUGCUUUCUCUAUAAUUCUUUGUUCUUUACCUUGCUUUGACCAUGUUUCAUUAGACCAUUUAGCACAGUAAACUUUUAUAAGAAAUCCCCCAACAUUCUUUAGUAACUCCUAACAUAUGUACUGGUUUACUCAAUCUGUAUAUCUAAAUGAGUCCAUGAUCCCAGUGCAAGGGCUUUAUCUUUGAAGUUAGCUGCACUUAUUUCUUAUCAAAGUGUAUGUAAAGGUCUUUGAUUGCGUUUCCAGGAGUUACCACACUGAAAUGCUGUCUGACAGAGGGGGCAACGAGCCAUAUAUGAUCCUAUCAACCUUAAUAAAUGACCAUGUUUAAAAUGACAUUAAAAGUCAUGUUAGUAGCAAUGUGUAUGUUAAGUGGUUACAGACCAUGCAUUAAUAUAAUUGGACUGAUUGCAAGUUUUGAUUGAGAAACAUUUGGUAUCAAUGGUAACAGUUGGUAUUGAAUGCCUAUAGCAGUUCAGCACCUAUUUAUCAACAGGUUUGGGCACAGGAUUGGCUGAGUUACACAUUUAUUCCAGUGUGGGAUAGAAUCUGAGGCAUAUAGUCCAGGAACCACAUUCCUAACAGAUGUUGGCUGCAGUAGAUUAUGUACAGUAGUGGUUUAGAAAAGAACAUUUAAACAUAGGAAAGAAUCAGAUUGAUACAUCCAAAAGUAAGACAGGAAAGAAAAAGCAUAAAUCUUUUAUCUUUUGUAUUUCUAUAGCCAAAAGAAAGCCAAGGACGGUAUCAGAUGCCAACAGCACUACCACUGUAACUUCACAGUACUGAUGCAAAUUCACCAAUCUCAGGGACCAGUCAGGCCUCAUCAAACAUCAGUUUGUCCUCACACAGGGCAAUGAAAACACCUGCCCUGAUCCACCACAUCUUAUUUCACUGGGACGACAGAGGCUGAAUUAGCUGGUGAACAACUGUGAACGACGCUGUGUUGCACAACCAGAUAUGAACUACUAUAAUGAAACCGGAUCAGCAGACUCUCUUUCUUUAGCCUUUUAUUAGCAAGAAACUCAGGAUCAGACAGCACAGAUUUUACAACAACAGAUGUAUAUAGAAAAACAACAGUACGCAGUAAUGUAUCGGACUAGGGGACCGGUUUGUGAUAAAGGACAGGGGAGUUUAUUAUUUUGGAACUCUAAAUUAAGUUGCCGACACCUUAAAUAUACGCCCUGCGUCCCAAUGGAGAGUAGUGUAUAUUACAUUCCAGUAAUAUCCAACAUGUUAAAUACAUUGCUGUGUCUUUAUAUAUAUAUUAGUAAGCUCCAGCGCCCUCUAGUGCACAGCAGCGUAUUGCCAUCACUAGAUGGUGCUGGCUCAUAUGUCUGUUAAAAAAAAUUGAAAACCGCCACUAAUUUGCAUAUACCUAUGGCAGGUAACAAGAACUGAAGAGCAGCUAAUGAACCCAGGUGAAAGCCACUUAAACACAGACUUAUUAAAUAAUAAUAAUAAUAAUAAUAAUAAUAAUAAUAAUAAUAAUAAUAAUAAUAAUAUAACUUUUACUCUUUUACAAAUAUUACAUUUCUUACCUGUUUAAUCCUAUGGUGUAUGUUCUGCAUGAUUCUGUAUCGGUUUUUCAGCUUAGAUCAGAGAUUGCCAAGCUUACUAUGCAGCAAAAUAUUUCUGCUUAAAAAAAAAAAACUUAAUUGCAGAACAUUCUGUAAAUAGAGCACCAAAAAUGAACUGCAAAAAAAGUGAACCGUGUUGUGGUUUUAGAACCAGGAAAACCCCAUUGAGAUGGAGGCAUUAGCUUAAGUCAGAUUUGCUAAAGUAGUGCUAGACAAGAAUUUUAAAUCCAUAUUCCUACUCUAACUGCAAUCAGGCACAGACUUGUAUCUACUGCAUUGUUCUUGAAAAUGCUUUAUGUCCCCAGCUAAAGUAUAAAGACCAAAAGAACUAAAAGAUCUUAAACACAAAUACAGGUGGCCUGUGUGAUAAUGCUGCUAAUACUGAUAAGAAUUGAGGAAAUGGGGUUGAUUUUACACCCUUGGGUAGCACUCUUUAUGAUGGUCUUCAUAGAAGCUCUGAAUUGCUUUCCAUUCAAGACCACCACACUUCAUCACCAUACUAACCUUAGAAACAUUUAUGUGCCAACAAAUGAAGUUAGAUUACAUUUUCUCAGUUUAGUGACUUAUGUUUAAUUGAUGGUGCAGGCAUUAUUUGUACCUAUUAAAUCAUUUAAACAAUCUUGUCCAUCUUUGUCUUAAAACUGUACAGUACAUUACAAUACAACUGAAUGUAACUUUAGAACUAGGAAAUAAAGUUUCUUGAGCUCUUUUAAUGGCAUUAUUCAAUCAAAUUUUCCUCAAAUACAGUUUAACACAUUUUCUUUUUGGAAUUUGUGAAUGAAUAGUGCCACAGAAAAGAGAAAUAAUGCAGGUGCUGUAAUUCUUUGAUUGAAUAUGCCUCUUGGCUUUGUUUAGAUGGUAGAAAUAUAACUAUUUUAUCUAGGCCUGCUUUAUGUAAUUUUAUGUUUCUAUUAAUGAUGUAUUUGACUUGCUUUGUAGAACGGGAUAUAGGAUAGAAUUAUAAACUAAUA
Molecule: RNA transcript, 5089 nt
Organism: Acipenser ruthenus (sterlet)
Lineage: Eukaryota; Metazoa; Chordata; Actinopteri; Acipenseriformes; Acipenseridae
Gene name: sialoadhesin-like
Exons: 7
Source: RefSeq, a predicted model, not a curated record